GAUGAACGCUAGCGGCAGGCUUAAUACAUGCAAGUCGAGGGGCAGCAGUUUUGUAGCAAUACAGAAGCUGGCGACCGGCAAACGGGUGCGGAACACGUACGCAACCUUCCUUUAACUGGGAGAUAGCCCACCGAAAGGUGGAUUAAUAUCCCAUAAUAUAACUGAAUGGCAUCAUUUAGAUAUUAAAGCUCCGGCGGUUAAAGAUGGGCGUGCGUCUGAUUAGGUAGUUGGCGGGGUAACGGCCCACCAAGCCUUCGAUCAGUAGCGGAUGUGAGGGCAUGAUCAGCCACACGGGGACUGAGACACGGGCCCGACUCCUACGGGAGGCAGCAGUGAGGAAUAGUGGUCAAUGGACGCAAGUCUGAACCAGCCAUGCCGCGUGGAGGAUGAAGGCCCUCUGGGUUGUAAACUUCUUUUCUUUGGGACGAAACCCCUGUUUCUACGGGGACUGACGGUACCAGAGGAAUAAGCACCGGCUAACUCCGUGCCAGCCGCCGCAGUAA
This 503-nucleotide ribosomal RNA is filed under the name uncultured bacterium. RNAcentral's name for it is "partial 16S ribosomal RNA". It matches the Rfam family "Bacterial small subunit ribosomal RNA", at positions 28 to 523 of the family's 1533-position model. The record is from RNAcentral.